RNAcentral lists this ribosomal RNA (424 nucleotides) under uncultured bacterium. RNAcentral describes it as "bacterial SSU rRNA". It matches the Rfam family "Bacterial small subunit ribosomal RNA", at positions 356 to 772 of the family's 1533-position model. The record is from RNAcentral.
GGGGAAUAUUGGACAAUGGGGGCAACCCUGAUCCAGCAAUACCGCGUGUGUGAAGAAGGCCUUCGGGUUGUAAAGCACUUUAGUUGGGGAAGAAGGUGUAUUGUUUAAGAGAUGAUACAUUUGACGGUACCCAAAGAAUAAGCACCGGCUAACUCUGUGCCAGCAGCCGCGGUAAGACAGAGGGUGCAAACGUUGUUCGGAAUCACUGGGCGUAAAGCGCGUGUAGGCGGCCGCGUAAGUCGGGCGUGAAGUCCCACAGCUCAACUGUGGAAGUGCACUCGAAACUGCGUGGCUAGAGUCCUGGAGAGGAAGGUGGAAUACUUGGUGUAGAGGUGAAAUUCGUAGAUAUCAAGUGGAACACCGGUGGCGAAGGCGGCCUUCUGGACAGUGACAGACGCUGAGACGCGAAAGCGUGGGGAGCAAA